AAGUCGAACGGUGAAGCAGAGCUUGCUCUGUGGAUCAGUGGCGAACGGGUGAGUAACACGUGAGCAACCUGCCCCUGACUCUGGGAUAAGCGCUGGAAACGGCGUCUAAUACUGGAUAUGAGCUGCGACCGCAUGGUCAGCAGUUGGAAAGAUUUUUCGGUCUGGGAUGGGCUCACGGCCUAUCAGCUUGUUGGUGAGGUAAUGGCUCACCAAGGCGUCGACGGGUAGCCGGCCUGAGAGGGUGACCGGCCACACUGGGACUGAGACACGGCCCAGACUCCUACGGGAGGCAGCAGUGGGGAAUAUUGCACAAUGGGCGAAAGCCUGAUGCAGCAACGCCGCGUGAGGGAUGACGGCCUUCGGGUUGUAAACCUCUUUUAGCAGGGAAGAAGCGAAAGUGACGGUACCUGCAGAAAAAGCGCCGGCUAACUACGUGCCAGCAGCCGCGGUAAUACGUAGGGCGCAAGCGUUAUCCGGAAUUAUUGGGCGUAAAGAGCUCGUAGGCGGUUUGUCGCGUCUGCUGUGAAAUCCCGAGGCUCAACCUCGGGUCUGCAGUGGGUACGGGCAGACUAGAGUGCGGUAGGGGAGAUUGGAAUUCCUGGUGUAGCGGUGGAAUGCGCAGAUAUCAGGAGGAACACCGAUGGCGAAGGCAGAUCUCUGGGCCGUUACUGACGCUGAGGAGCGAAAGGGUGGGGAGCAAACAGGCUUAGAUACCCUGGUAGUCCACCCCGUAAACGUUGGGAACUAGUUGUGGGGUCCAUUCCACGGAUUCCGUGACGCAGCUAACGCAUUAAGUUCCCCGCCUGGGGAGUACGGCCGCAAGGCUAAAACUCAAAGGAAUUGACGGGGACCCGCACAAGCGGCGGAGCAUGCGGAUUAAUUCGAUGCAACGCGAAGAACCUUACCAAGGCUUGACAUAUACGAGAACGGGCCAGAAAUGGUCAACUCUUUGGACACUCGUAAACAGGUGGUGCAUGGUUGUCGUCAGCUCGUGUCGUGAGAUGUUGGGUUAAGUCCCGCAACGAGCGCAACCCUCGUUCUAUGUUGCCAGCACGUAAUGGUGGGAACUCAUGGGAUACUGCCGGGGUCAACUCGGAGGAAGGUGGGGAUGACGUCAAAUCAUCAUGCCCCUUAUGUCUUGGGCUUCACGCAUGCUACAAUGGCCGGUACAAAGGGCUGCAAUACCGUGAGGUGGAGCGAAUCCCAAAAAGCCGGUCCCAGUUCGGAUUGAGGUCUGCAACUCGACCUCAUGAAGUCGGAGUCGCUAGUAAUCGCAGAUCAGCAACGCUGCGGUGAAUACGUUCCCGGGUCUUGUACACACCGCCCGUCAAGUCAUGAAAGUCGGUAACACCUGAAGCCGGUGGCCCAACCCUUGUGGAGGGAGCCGUCGA
RNAcentral lists this ribosomal RNA (1391 nucleotides) under Microbacterium oleivorans. RNAcentral describes it as "bacterial SSU rRNA". It matches the Rfam family "Bacterial small subunit ribosomal RNA". The record is from RNAcentral. Lineage: Bacteria; Bacillati; Actinomycetota; Actinomycetes; Micrococcales; Microbacteriaceae.